CGAGGAAGCGCUUCAGCUUCUGGAGACGCCUGGGCCAGGCGGUCCUGCUCCAUCGACCACGAGUACCCGGAUCCCGGGUACCACACCUGGGACGCGGAACUGCGGAAGAUCCACAGGGCGGCAGUGAGGGGCGACGCCGCAGAGGUGGAGCGCCGCCGCAGAGGUCGAGCGCCGCCAGAUGCGCAGAAGCCGGGACUUGUACGCCCGCGACAGGAAAGAC
This 220-nucleotide long non-coding RNA is filed under the name Homo sapiens (human). RNAcentral's name for it is "non-protein coding lnc-HGSNAT-1:1". The record is from RNAcentral. Lineage: Eukaryota; Metazoa; Chordata; Mammalia; Primates; Hominidae.